ACGACUUUGGACAAUAAAGGUGAGGCCCUUUGUAUCUCGAUGGCAACUCUACAACGGAUGUUUUGCUUUCAGGCAUAUGUAAUUACACCACUUUGAUUGCCGACUGUCUUCGACAGCGACGAUGCUCUACCUGGGCGUGGUCUAACUCUACCUCGGCCAGGUGUGGUGCCACGAGGAAGCACCCAAGGUACAUGUGUGUGUGUGCGCGCGCGCAAAUAUAGAUUAACUACAGAUAAGUACUUCGGUCCCAUCAGUCGCCACCAAGUAAAUCAGCAGCAGCCAGUAGUAGAAGAAUUCGGUUUGACAUUUGAUUUAUGCUGGGUAAUUUGAGGUGUGCCUGUUGGUUAUGCCAUUUAUCUUUUUUCUGUCAAGCAAUUGUUUUCUAUUGCUGUGAUAGGCCUGAAUCAGUUUUUGUUUUUUGUAUACACCGAGAUGAAGCUGAAAGUUAUGACGAUCAGAUCAAAUACCAAAAGUUGUAACUCGGAUAUACCAUGAUAUUUUGAAUGGUGUGCUACCUUAAUAGCUUUCAGUGGUAUGUUGUCUGUUCAAUUCCGAAAAUAAGAUUUGUGGUAGGUUGACCUGUUGACAGCUUUCAAUGCUACUGUAUGUUGUUUGUUCAACUCCGGUCACCGAAGCUGAAUUUCCAUACAAAACCAAGAUUUGUUCUAGGUAAUUAUUUAGGCACCAAGCAACAAGUCCAUGGAUUUAAAAUAUGCACACAACGACAAACAUUUGUGUGGAUUUUCUGUAGGUGUCUCUGUUGACCUGCAUGUUUGCCUGAUGAGUGAAACAUAAGUGAUUCCAGUUCUACAUAUAUGUAACAUGCUAUUUUUGUUGGCUUAUAUUAACAUGGGAACCGGGUAAGUUUCUGCAAAUGUAUUCUUUUGGUUGUUUUGUGUCAUUUGUAUCCCGGUCAACAACUUGAGAGAUUUACUUUGAGUAAAUUCAUGGUCUGAACUGGCUGUAGUAUUCAUUGAUCAAAUAAUUGUCGUCUAACGAGUGUUAUUGAUAAAGGAGGAGCUUGAGAAAAUGAAGGUAACUAUGAAGCUUCCUCUAUACAUGAUGAAGUGGGCGAAUGCGAAAUACAACAGGAGUUAGAGAAAGGCACACCUUGCACUUAUCGUUUCCUGAGUGCCAAAGAAAGGCUCACUGAAAGUAUCAAAUUUAUUUAAUGCGAGGUAGUGACAAGCUUUAGAGUUCAACCUUUUAGUGGAGUGCUUUUAUGCAUAUAAUCUUAAUAUAAUUCAUAAUUGUAAAUAAUGGGAAGCAAACAGUGGUACAUACAUUGUAUGCAUUGUGAAAGAAAAUAUUUUUAUAAUCGUGCUUGUGUUUAACAAGAAUUGGUAGAAACAAUUAUGUUUUAAUUUUAAUGAAUAUAUAUUACACCUUUUGUAUAAACUAAGUCAUAUUGUCGCACUAUCAUUUUCUUUCCUUUUGUUUGUUGGUUCACCUUUUUUCUCCCGUUGCAACGCACGGGCUAUUUUGCUAGUAAUAAUAAAGUACAGAUUGACUCCUUGGGUUCACCAUCACAAUACAAUUUCUUUCUGUGAAUUUAUGCUUUCAGUUUGAAUUUAAAACAUAUACGCG
This 1587-nucleotide long non-coding RNA is filed under the name Triticum aestivum (bread wheat). RNAcentral's name for it is "long non-coding RNA (TAES_LNC010273)". Lineage: Eukaryota; Viridiplantae; Streptophyta; Magnoliopsida; Poales; Poaceae. The record is from RNAcentral.